AUGCGUAAAGAUGUGGAGGAACACCAGUGGCGAAGGCGGCCUUUUGGUCUGUAACUGACGCUGAGGCGCGAAAGCGUGGGGAGCAAACAGGAUUAGAUACCCUGGUAGUCCACGCCGUAAACAAUGAGUGCUAAGUGUUAGAGGGUUUCCCCCCUUUAUUGCUGCAGCUAACGCAUUAAGCACUCCGCCUGGGGAGUACGGUCGCAAGACUGAAACUCAAAGGAAUUGACGGGGGCCCGCACAAGCGGUGGAGCAUGUGGUUUAUUUCAAAGCAACGCGAAGAACCUUACCAGGUCUUGACUUCCUCUGAGAUCUCUAGAGAUAGAGCGUUCCCCUUCGGGGGACAAAGUGACAGGUGGUGCAUGGUUGUCGUCCGCUCGUGUCGGGAGAUGGUUGGGUUA
This 401-nucleotide ribosomal RNA is filed under the name Priestia flexa. Its description in RNAcentral is "bacterial SSU rRNA". It matches the Rfam family "Bacterial small subunit ribosomal RNA", at positions 686 to 1082 of the family's 1533-position model. The record is from RNAcentral. Lineage: Bacteria; Bacillati; Bacillota; Bacilli; Caryophanales; Bacillaceae.